Molecule: ribosomal RNA, 571 nt
Filed under: Tuber mexiusanum
Lineage: Eukaryota; Fungi; Ascomycota; Pezizomycetes; Pezizales; Tuberaceae
Description: eukaryotic LSU rRNA
Rfam family: Eukaryotic large subunit ribosomal RNA
Source: RNAcentral
GAAAAGAAACCAACAGGGAUUGCCUUAGUAACGGCGAGUGAAGCGGCAAAAGCUCAAAUUUGAAAUCUGACACCUCCGGUGUUCGAGUUGUAAUUUGGAGAGGCAUCUUCUGGAGGGGCCCAGCCUAUGUGCCUUGGAACAGGACGUCAUAGAGGGUGAGAAUCCCGUACUUGGCCGGAUGUUCCCUCCUGUAUGUAGUGUCUUCUACGAGUCGAGUUGUUUGGGAAUGCAGCUCAAAAUGGGUGGUAAAUUUCAUCUAAAGCUAAAUAUUGGCGAGAGACCGAUAGCGCACAAGUAGAGUGAUCGAAAGAUGAAAAGCACUUUGAAAAUAGAGUCAAACAGUACGUGAAAUUGUUGAAAGGGAAGCGCUUAGGACCAGACCUGGGGAAUAGCAAACAAUCGCCCACCGGGGCGGUGCACUUGUUACUCCUCGGGCCAGCAUGGGUUGGGACGGUGGGAUAAAGACUCGGGAAAUGUGACUCCUUCGUGGAGUGUUAUAGUCCCGGGUGGCAUGCCAUCAGUCCCGACUGUGGAACGCGCACCGGCACGGAUGCUGGCAUAAUGGUCUUCA